RNAcentral lists this long non-coding RNA (989 nucleotides) under Mytilus galloprovincialis (Mediterranean mussel). Lineage: Eukaryota; Metazoa; Mollusca; Bivalvia; Mytilida; Mytilidae. The record is from RNAcentral.
UUAUAAAUGAUAUUUAAUGUCUAUCUCUGACAAAAACAAAGUAAAUAAAGUAACAAACAUGUUCUCUUUUUCAAAUUGAACUAAAAUUAUGCGAUAUUUAAUGAUUGUUCUACAUGAUUGUUCAUAUGCAAAUAGUCAAUGAUUGUACUAUAAUUAAUGAUAUAUUCCUUUACAAAAUAUACAUGAUUGUUAAACAAGCUUUCUCAAAAUGUUAUCUUUAUUAUUCAAAAAGGGUAAAAAUUUACAAACAGCAAGUUUUAUUGAGUUGACGGUGUGCAUCAUUCAACUAUUGGUUCGCAAACACAUUUUACACAUAUUCUUCUUAACAAGAAUUACUUUUUUCGUCAUUCAAAAAAAUAACAAUGAACACAAAAUCAAAUCAUAAAGAAAUGAGUUAAAAUGUCUAUAGUCUGUAAUUAAUAAAAUGAUUUAAUCAAGUACAACUGAAAGUUACAAUGGGUCUACUUUUUGGCUUGUUCCAUUUCAACAUCUUCAGCCAUUGGUGCCCGGAUAGUAAGAUUCCCUUUAUCAUCUCUAAAACAUUGGAUGUUCUUCCCAUCCACAGACCGCGGAACUGUCAUCUGACGAAAGAACGACUCACGAAUUUCAUGACCAUCCUCAGACCUCUUUCGUUCUCCUUGGGCUGUCAACAUUCCAUCUUUACAUAAAACCUUCACCUCCUCUGGCCGAUAAUUUUCGACAUUGAAUGUCAUCAAAUUGCUGUGGCUGUCACUGGCCACCAAGGACCGACCUUCUUGUGGGACAACUUGGAGUUGCUUCUCCUCUGACACACGGUACGGGGCUUCUAACAUCAUAGUUCCAUCAGAUUUCAUGAAGCUAUGAAUUUUUUCGGCAUCAACAUUCUCUGGAAUCUGGACUGUCCUUGUGCGCUCGACAGUAUCUCCCCAUUCAUCAUUACCAUCUGUGUACUUAGCAUGAAUUAUUACUUUACCUGAAUUAUAGAAAAAAAAAACUUGUUGAGUUUAAGC